UACGGAGGAUCCAAGCGUUAUCCGGAUUCAUUGGGUUUAAAGGGUGCGUAGGCGGCUAAUUAAGUCAGUGGUGAAAUCCCGAGGCUCAACUUCGGAACUGCCAUUGAUACUGGUUAGCUUGAAUUCAGUUGAGGUGGGCGGAAUGUAGCAUGUAGCGGUGAAAUGCUUAGAUAUGCUACAGAACACCGAUUGCGAAGGCAGCUCACUAAACUGACAUUGACGCUGAGGCACGAAAGCGUGGGGAGCGAACAGG
RNAcentral lists this unclassified non-coding RNA (253 nucleotides) under uncultured Bacteroidia bacterium. Its description in RNAcentral is "contains 16S-23S intergenic spacer region". It matches the Rfam family "Bacterial small subunit ribosomal RNA", at positions 524 to 776 of the family's 1533-position model. The record is from RNAcentral. Lineage: Bacteria; Pseudomonadati; Bacteroidota; Bacteroidia.